GACGAACGCUGGCGGCGUGCCUAAUACAUGCAAGUAGAACGCUGAAGCGAGGAGCUUGCUCUUCUUGGAUGAGUUGCGAACGGGUGAGUAACGCGUAGGUAACCUGCCUGGUAGCGGGGGAUAACUAUUGGAAACGAUAGCUAAUACCGCAUAAAAUGGAUUAUCGCAUGAUAAUCCAUUGAAAGGUGCAAAUGCAUCACUACCAGAUGGACCUGCGUUGUAUUAGCUAGUUGGUGGGGUAACGGCCUACCAAGGCGACGAUACAUAGCCGAUCUGAGAGGGUGAGCGGCCACACUGGGACGGAGACACGGCCCAGACUCCUAAGGGAGGCACCAGUAGGGAAUCUUCGGCAAUGGACGGAAGUCUGACCGAGCAACGCCGCGGGAGUGAAGAAGGUUUUCGGAUCGUAAAGCUCUUUUGUAAGAGAAGAACGAGUGGGAGAGUGGAAAGUUCACACUGUGACGGUAUCUUACCAGAAAGGGACGGCUAACUACGUG
This 497-nucleotide ribosomal RNA is filed under the name uncultured bacterium. RNAcentral's name for it is "partial 16S ribosomal RNA". It matches the Rfam family "Bacterial small subunit ribosomal RNA", at positions 28 to 507 of the family's 1533-position model. The record is from RNAcentral.